GUGCUUGCCUGGGCAGCACAUGUACUAAAAUUGGAACGAUACAGAGGAGAUAAGCUGAGCCCUGCAUGAAGGAACACCACGCACCAUCCAUGAAGCGCUCCUUGUUAAA
RNAcentral lists this small nuclear RNA (109 nucleotides) under Felis catus (domestic cat). The record is from RNAcentral. Lineage: Eukaryota; Metazoa; Chordata; Mammalia; Carnivora; Felidae.